Molecule: long non-coding RNA, 268 nt
Filed under: Gossypium barbadense (sea-island cotton)
Lineage: Eukaryota; Viridiplantae; Streptophyta; Magnoliopsida; Malvales; Malvaceae
Description: long non-coding RNA (GBAR_LNC009090)
Source: RNAcentral
UAAUAAACUGCACUUAUUGGCUAGACCAAAAAUUCUGGAACUUUAAUUGUAAGAAUAUAAAUGAGUCUAGUUUUAGGAAAAAUUAACAGAUCAUAAAUUGGAGUUCCGUAGCUCCAAAUAUAAAUAAAUUAAUAACUACGACUCGAGAAAAUAGCUUAACCAGAAUAUGAGUAAAAGUGUCAUUAUGGUUGAUUUCCUAAGGAAACAUGUUGUUAAAAUGCUUAUUAUUUUCAUAUGGACUUACUAAGCUUUAAGCUUAGUCCCUCCU